RNAcentral lists this ribosomal RNA (517 nucleotides) under uncultured bacterium. RNAcentral's name for it is "bacterial SSU rRNA". It matches the Rfam family "Bacterial small subunit ribosomal RNA", at positions 992 to 1509 of the family's 1533-position model. The record is from RNAcentral.
AGAACUUAGCAGAGAUGCUUUGGUGCCUUCGGGGAACUCUGAGACAGGUGCUGCAUGGCUGUCGUCAGCUCGUGUUGUGAAAUGUUGGGUUAAGUCCCGCAACGAGCGCAACCCUUAUCCUUUGUUGCCAGCGGUUAGGCCGGGAACUCAAGGAGACUGCCAGUGAUAAACUGGAGGAAGGUGGGGAUGACGUCAAGUCAUCAUGGCCCUUACGAGUAGGGCUACACACGUGCUACAAUGGCGCAUACAAAGAGAAGCGACCUCGCGAGAGCAAGCGGACCUCAUAAAGUGCGUCGUAGUCCGGAUUGGAGUCUGCAACUCGACUCCAUGAAGUCGGAAUCGCUAGUAAUCGUGGAUCAGAAUGCCACGGUGAAUACGUUCCCGGGCCUUGUACACACCGCCCGUCACACCAUGGGAGUGGGUUGCAAAAGAAGUAGGUAGCUUAACCUUCGGGAGGGCGCUUACCACUUUGUGAUUCAUGACUGGGGUGAAGUCGUAACAAGGUAAGCGUAGUGCU